Orcinus orca (killer whale) is the source of this 1536-nucleotide long non-coding RNA. RefSeq lists it as uncharacterized. The transcript has 3 exons. Lineage: Eukaryota; Metazoa; Chordata; Mammalia; Artiodactyla; Delphinidae. The record is from RefSeq and is a predicted model, not a curated record.
GGUAAUCACCACUCCACAAGAAAUCUCCUCAGAGAUAACAAUGUAUCCAGUAAAUCCUAUUGGAGAGGAGAGAAAUUGGAGGUUUUAAAAGAAGCAGAAAGGAGGCUGCAAAACCCAGGCUUUAGGUGACUAAAGCUGCGAUGAUGACAAUGGAGAGGGAAAAAAUGUCGAGAUUGGGGGUGUCUACCCAAACUGGAGUUUUGAUCUCAUUCUAUAGAAGAAAGAGCUCCAGAAGAGAGAAGAGAAAAGAGAGAAAUGGCUAGAGUCUUAAGGAGUACAAAGGAGAAUAUUAGGCAAGAUUAGUAGGAUAUGUGAAAUUUUGAAGUCUCAAUGAAUUUUAUGAUGUUUUAUCACAGACUGUAGUAUAAACACAAGCCACCAACCACUUCCCCAUCCCUCUAUUUCUACCUUUAUAUGAGACUUCAGUCAUCACUUAACGUUAUUUUCCAAUUUGUGGGCGAGUCGAAUAUGUGUUUCUCUGUAAUGUGAUACUUUGUAGAGUUGUGCCCCACAAGAGUGACCUUCAAAGCACAGAUUUAUCUUUCUUUAUACAUGUGCCAAUUAUUAUUAUUAUUUUAUUUAUUUAUUUAUUUAUUUAUUUAUUUAUUUAUUUUGGGGUGUGUUGGGUCUUCGUUUCUGUGCGAGGGCUUUCUCUAGUUGAGGCGAGCAGGGGCCACGCUUCAUGGCAGUGCACGGGCCUCUCACUGCCGCGGCCUCUCUUGUUGCAGAGCACAGGCUCCAGAGGCGCAGGCUCAGUAGUUGUGGCUCACGGGCCUAAUUGCUCCGCGGCAUGUGGGAUCCUCCCAGACCAGGGCUCGAACCCGUGUCCCCUGCAUUGGCAGGCAGACUCUCAACCACUGUGUCACCAGGGAAGCCUCCAAUUAUUUUUAAAUGCUAUAAACCCACCAGCCUUGUCUAUACUUACUGAAUACCAAACAACUGGGUAAAAAUUGAUGGGAGUUUGAUCAAAUAUUCAGAUAUUUCCUUUCCACCGUUCCAAACAUAUGUAGAAUUUUUGAAAGAUUUUGCAACUUUUUUCCCCUCCUAUGUCAUCCAAAUGUUCAGCAUUAUUCUAACAUCCUCCGUAGCGCCAAUAAAGUAGUCAUUCCAAUAGGUAGUUUAAUGGUUAAAUGGUUAUCUGUUAAAUAGGUUUUUUUCAGAAAUGGCUCCAACAUAAAUACAACUGGAAAAGUGACCGUGGCCAUUCCUAAUAGAGCUUAGUUCAAGCUUUCUGGUUUUACUCAUAAAGACAGAUCUUCAGGUCCUAAACCAUGUGUGUUCCUGUUCCUAUUCUAAAGGCUCUGUGAAGCAGAGCACAGGAUGCAGGGGUUUAUCAUUAGGUGGCAAUUAAAUUGGAGAGGUUGUUUUAUCAGUCUGCUCUAUGAAUUUUUGCUUGUCCCCAUGUGAAUCAAUUUCCAUAAAUCUAUUUAAACCAAUAACUUUAUAAUCAUAGAGAAGAGAAAACUGCCAUCAAUUCCAAAACAUGUUGUUAGAUUGCUCAUGCUUUUAGGUUUCAUCAUCUCUAUUAAAAUGUAU